AUGAGUCCAGUGUUAUCAGUUAGUAAGAACUGGUGCCAUAGAAUAGGAAUUGCUGCACAGAUGCUGGGACUGGCUCAAGGGUGCUUUGACUACACUAUUCCCUAUAUGAAAGAAAGGAUGCAGUUUGGCAAAAGAAUAUUUGAUUUUCAGGGGCUCCAACACCAAGUGGCCCACGUUGCCACCCAGCUGGAAGCUGCAAGAUUGCUAACAUACGACACUGCUAGGCUUUUAGAAGCUGGAAAACCAUUCAUAAAAGAAGCAUCUAUGGCCAAAUACUAUGCAUCAGAGGUUGCAAGUCUCACAACUAGUAAGUGUAUUGAGUGGAUGGGAGGAGUCGGCUACACCAAAGAUUACCCUGUGGAAAAAUACUUCCGAGAUGCAAAAAUUGGUACAAUAUAUGAAGGAACUUCAAAUAUCCAGCUGAACACCAUUGCAAAGCACAUUGGUGCAGAAUACUGAUGUCCAAGGGAACGGGGCCUCUCCCCCUGGUUGCUGGUAGAAAAUUCUAAACUAUCGUGCCUUGUUGGGGAAGUAAACCUCCACAGC
Molecule: non-coding RNA, 546 nt
Organism: Callorhinus ursinus (northern fur seal)
Lineage: Eukaryota; Metazoa; Chordata; Mammalia; Carnivora; Otariidae
Source: RefSeq, a predicted model, not a curated record